UUUGUGAUUAAUCACUAUGCUUUAAUUAUGUUCAAUUUGUAACAGUGAAAUUGGGGGUCACCACAACAUGAGGAGCUGUAUUAAAGGGUCGCGGCAUCAGGAAGGUUGAGAACCACUGCUUUAGAUGAAGAGCUGUGGGAUAAAAUUUGCUCACUCCGUUGUACAAAGCACAACCAGAACUUAAUCAUUGGCUAAGAGAGGCACUAAUCCCUGUGGGGUUGAACAUAUCCUGAAGCUGAGUCAGUAUGGAAGAAUUUAAAAUAAAUCAAACAGGGUGCUGCAGUUCCAUCUGUCUCAGGCUCACGGUAAGUUCUUACUGAUUAGUGAAUGUAGCUAAAGCCUUUGUCUGUGUCCUCAGGGGCAGACUUCAAGAGGGACCAGAUAACGUUUGAAUGGAGGGAUUAUAUUUCAGGUGUUUUAGCUUGAAAUUUAUUUUUUAAAAAAAUAAAAAUGGGGGGGGGGGUAAUAGAACAAAGCCUGUGAAGCAAAAUUGAUAUUAUAAAACAGGCAGAGUUGUUUAGCACAGAGAAAAUAUUGACCUGUCUGCAUUCUGGUACUGUGGGUGCAGGUCCUAGCUUGGUAUAACGAUACAUUUUUAAUUCUCACCAGCAAGGAAAAGGAAAAGGAACAGUCUUCUUCAGAAAAUGUCUGCAAAGGGUCAAGCAGUAGAAAAGUCGAAAGUUACCGACUUUAUACAGGCAUUAUUUAAUGCUUGCCUACAGAAGUAUAGCAUUUCCAAGCUUCUGUCUGAGAAGCAUUUCAGAGAUGUGAAAGUAAAUCUGAGGUAGUUGAAAAAUUGGUAAGGACAGGAGAAAAUCCCUGCAGAUACGAUCUUACAUUAGUUGGCCAAGUGAAAUGAUCUAGCAUUGUGUUUGGGAGGUUUUAUUUUCUUACGUUUUUAAAAUUGAAUUGGUAAAUACUUUAUAGGCGUAUUUUUAUCCAGGUGCCACUCCAAUUUGUGUGUGUAAUAAAAUUAUUUAUAUUAAAAGUGGGAAAUAAUUUGUCAACAUUUUUCUGUGAGUAUAGAUUAGGGGUGGCAAAGAAGAGUGCUAGUUAGCAGUUUUCCAAUGUAAAGUUGUCCCUAACUGAUUUGUCCACAUGUUGGUUAUCAUCCCCACCCAAAAAAGGAAUUAUCCUAACCUGGAUGUAUCACUUGAAAAUUUUUAGAAACAAUAAUCAGGGAAGUUUCUAGAGAGUGUUUGGUUUUUUUGGUUUUCCUUUGAGGACUGGGGUAACAAAUACCUCCCCCAAAAAUUAUCAGCACAAAACAGGGUAUUGAUUUUCAACUCUGAUCUUGCUAUUGGAGUUGAAUACUAAAGAACUAUAAUGAGGAAAAUACAUUUCUAAUACAAUUUCCUACAUUCUAGAAACAUCCCUGUUUUAAUUUUUUUACUUAAAUCUUUUUGUGCUUUAUCUGUAAAGAAAUAAAAUGUACUGAAUUAUAAAGCAUUUUAUUAACACUAUGUACAUAGCUGCUUUGUGUUCAGAAUGGUAGCAUUGCUUUGUAUAUUAAAGUGAUCCUUGUGAAUUUGUGAAAUAUUGUCAUAAAGUCCUUUUUCUUACUGUAAUCUUUGUGGUAAAAACUGUCAUUGCCCUUUUACACACAUUUAUGUGCAGUCACAUAAAACAUGCUUUUAAAAACUCAGAGUCUCUUUUUUGGGGAUGGGGGGGUCUCUAUCUUGUUUUUUGCUAGUAGUGUUAAGCUAUAUUUUCUUGGACUUAUGUUUGUUACUUUUGUUAAAUGAGCAAAAGUUACGUUAGAAUAUAUCACAAGCUUGUGUUGCAGAGCAACAGGAAACUAAUUCAAGCAACAAGAACUUAUCUUCAGUUAAUUUUACUGUCUAAUUUUUACCACACGAUGUCUUUGUUCAGUAAGAUUGAACAGUGCCUAUUUGAAGAUUCGGAGAUGUUACUGCUCUAUUGAGACAACCAAUGGGAGACGUGUGACCAACUAUCUUUGAUGUCAUAAAAUGCAUGUUUGCAUUGGAAGAACAAUAAUUGCUAACUUCUCAGGUCCCCUUAUAAUUCUGAAGUUCUGUGAUCAUAUGAAAGGAGGGAAUGUGUUUAAUCUGCUCCUUGCUUAAAGCAUAUGAAUAAAAGACUCAUACUAUUUAUUGAUUCAA
Myotis myotis is the source of this 2123-nucleotide long non-coding RNA. RefSeq lists it as uncharacterized. The record is from RefSeq and is a predicted model, not a curated record. The transcript has 2 exons. NCBI's taxonomy places the organism in Eukaryota, Metazoa, Chordata, Mammalia, Chiroptera, Vespertilionidae.